CUUCCAGUAGCACCUUAGAGACCAACUAAGUUUGUUAUUGGUAUGAACACGAAAGCUCAUAUCAGUAACAAACUUAGUUGGUCUCUAAGGUGCUACUGGAAU
Molecule: non-coding RNA, 102 nt
Organism: Podarcis lilfordi (Lilford's wall lizard)
Lineage: Eukaryota; Metazoa; Chordata; Lepidosauria; Squamata; Lacertidae
Source: the annotation of a GenBank genome assembly